GAUGAAGAACGCAGCAAAAUGCGAUAAGUAAUGUGAAUUGCAGAAUUCAGUGAAUCAUCGAAUCUUUGAACGCACAUUGCGCCCUCUGGUAUUCCGGGGGGCAUGCCUGUUCGAGCGUCAUUAUAACCACUCAAGCUCUCGCUUGGUAUUGGGGUUCGCGGUUUCGCGGCCCCUAAAAUCAGUGGCGGUGCCUGUCGGCUCUACGCGUAGUAAUACUCCUCGCGAUUGAGUCCGGUAGGUCUACUUGCCAGCAACCCCUAAUUUUUUUUAAGGUUGACCUCGGAUCAGGUAGGGAUACCCGCUGAACUUAAGCAUAUCAAUAAGCGGAGGA
Molecule: unclassified non-coding RNA, 331 nt
Filed under: soil metagenome
Description: partial contains 5.8S ribosomal RNA, internal transcribed spacer 2, and large subunit ribosomal RNA
Rfam family: 5.8S ribosomal RNA (bases 1-120)
Source: RNAcentral